AUUGAACGCUGGCGGCAUGCCUAACACAUGCAAGUCGAACGGCAGCACGGCAGUAGCAAUACUGUGGGUGGCGAGUGGCGGACGGGUGAGGAAUACGUCGGAAUCUGCCCAGUCGUGGGGGAUAACUAGCCGAAAGGUUAGCUAAUACCGCAUACGACCGAGAGGUGAAAGCGGGGGACCGCAAGGCCUCGCGCGAUUGGAUGAGCCGACGUCGGAUUAGCUAGUUGGAGGGGUAAAGGCCCACCAAGGCGACGAUCCGUAGCUGGUCUGAGAGGAUGAUCAGCCACACUGGAACUGAGACACGGUCCAGACUCCUACGGGAGGCAGCAGUGGGGAAUAUUGGACAAUGGGCGCAAGCCUGAUCCAGCAAUGCCGCGUGUGUGAAGAAGGCCUCGG
This 396-nucleotide ribosomal RNA is filed under the name uncultured bacterium. Its description in RNAcentral is "bacterial SSU rRNA". It matches the Rfam family "Bacterial small subunit ribosomal RNA", at positions 29 to 420 of the family's 1533-position model. The record is from RNAcentral.